RNAcentral lists this microRNA (21 nucleotides) under Rehmannia glutinosa. RNAcentral's name for it is "rgl-miR5574". The record is from miRBase by way of RNAcentral. Lineage: Eukaryota; Viridiplantae; Streptophyta; Magnoliopsida; Lamiales; Orobanchaceae.
UUUAAUCAGAAUCUAAAAGCA